UUCGAGUGGCGGACGGGUGAGUAACGCGUGGGUAACCUGCCUUACACAGGGGGAUAACACCUGGAAACAGGUGCUAAUACCGCAUAAGCGCACAGGGCCGCAUGGCCCGGUGUGAAAAACUCCGGUGGUGUAAGAUGGACCCGCGUCUGAUUAGCUUGUUGGCGGGGUAGGGGCCCACCAAGGCGACGAUCAGUAGCCGGCCUGAGAGGGUGGACGGCCACAUUGGGACUGAGACGCGGCCCAAACUCCUACGGGAGGCAGCAG
Molecule: ribosomal RNA, 264 nt
Filed under: uncultured bacterium
Lineage: Bacteria
Description: partial 16S ribosomal RNA
Rfam family: Bacterial small subunit ribosomal RNA
Source: RNAcentral